Molecule: long non-coding RNA, 3120 nt
Organism: Hylaeus anthracinus
Lineage: Eukaryota; Metazoa; Arthropoda; Insecta; Hymenoptera; Colletidae
Exons: 2
Source: RefSeq, a predicted model, not a curated record
AGGGCAACAUUUUAUUCGAAUACUCGAUAACGAAUAAAAUCAACGAAUAGCGGUUUGUUCGAUUGGAAAGUUAAAUUUUGUUAACCUUCGAUACAACUUUUGAUUUUCGUUUAUCUAGAUAACAAUUAUGCCCAUCUCUGCCCAAGGGACACGAUUCGAGAACACUCUACUUUGUUACGUUGCGAACAUGACCUAAUCCCACGUACGAUAGGUUACUCAGAUUCGUUCCACUGGAUCAGACAGAUGGCUUUGUUCCUGCUAAUCCUUUCCGGUCGACUUUUUCGCCCAAUCUGCCAGUCGAACAUAACAUCGACGAUAUUCUUCUCUCUCGAUCUUCAAUUUCAUUUAUUUCUAUCCUUGAAAAUAUCUAACUAAUUGUGUUAACGUUAAUUGUGCGCGCGCGCGCAGUUCUUCGCACCCACGGUUCGCGAAUGGGCGAUACCUCUCGGGUUUGCCAACACAAUCGCUAAAUCCUCGUUAUCAGUCCACCACGGAACCGACCAGAUAUCACUUCGAAUCGAGAACAAAAAGUGUAAAUCGAGCCAUUUGCCUCUCCAGUGAAAGCGAUCGGCGCAAUCCAUUCGCGUUUGCACCUACUAGGAAUCGUCGAGCGAUUCUUCCGUUUGUUUCUCGUAUUUUCGGCGAGGUCGUUAAAAGAGAACAGAGGGAAAGAAUUCGAUAAAGACGCCUGAAAGACGGAAUAUUUGAUUUAGGAUUAGCGAGGCUAAAUAACGAGUCCGUUUAGUUGUGUUGCCGCCGCCUCGAGAAAGAAGCCAUUGAAACAAUUCUGAAGGACAAUCAAAGAUGGAAAGUACUGAUCUCACACGUAGUAGGAUGAAGCAAUUAAUCGACUAAGGCUAGAUAUAUUUCGUUAGCUUAAGCUUAAGACCUAGGCGACCGCGGCGAUCAGCGAACAUACCGGCAGCUUCGGGAAUUUCAUUUUCAACAGCGUGGACAAGACUUUUGAAAAUAACAAAUCGAUCUAGGAGUCUCGAUGAUUCCACCGCGAACAGAACUGGAAGCUCGUCUCGAAACCUCGAUAAAUGCAUACGGACGUUCCGUUCGUUGCAUUCGGAGUCUGGUCUCCUUACUUACGGAAAGAAUUAGGUGACGAAUACGGAAAUAUUUGGUGUAUUUUUCGAGUACGUACAGGAAACAACGAGAAUUAUCGAGACUUCGCUUCGAUAAAACAUCAGCUGUAAAUCGAGAUUCGUAUAGGUCAAAUACGCUCGAGUGCAAAGGAAAGAAAACAAAGGAAAGAAAUAGACGAAGGGAAACAGGCAAACGCGCUGACAUGGACUUCUAUGCGUGUAAAUAUUAUAAAUAUUAAUAAGAGCGAAUAAAACGAAUGCCGCGAAGAAAAGAAUGCGUGUGCGUGUGAAAGGUUCUUUGAAAGAGAGAGCAAAUAGUUCUAAUCUCAUGUUACGCAAGAAAAGGUGGAAGAAAAAAAGAAUUAUCGAGCAGUUACGAGGACUUUGUUAAUUAGGUUUUAGCGUGCGGAGACGAUAUAGCUGGCUCUAUCGUAGUUUCUAUACUUAACGAAUGCGAAAGUUUAACAUACCGUUGAAAAAAAAAUGAAACAAAAAAAAACGUUUUUUCUAGCAGCUCAACAAGCCACCAAAGCGCGUCGAUCGAGGUCUUGAAACGGUAUGCGCCUGCUCCUUUUUAACGCUGAAAAAAAAAAAAAGAAACAGGUCGGUCAGCUUGCGAUUCCAAGUAAUUUACGCAUAGAGAUUGCGACCAUUUUAGAGGAUUAGACCGAAUAAACGAUCGAUCGAGUAAUUACCUUCCUCUGAAUUACACACAUUCCUUUGUACGUCCUUGCACGUUAUUUUAUACACCACCUGAACUAGACUCAUUCUUGCGCUACCGAUCCAUUUAAUCGUUGCGAAUCGGCCAGAUUGGACUUGACGGGAGAUCGUAAAUGGGUUUCGAGUCAGAGAAUCGUAACAGUUCCAAAUUUCAAAUCUUCGCCGUACAGCAACACAUAACCUCGUUUUGUUUAGUUCGAACGAAGCAACGAUUCCAAUUUAUUCGUAUCCUAAAGUACAAAGUUCAACGAGCUGAAUUUUUCGACGGUCGACUCUGUACACCUCUGACUCGAAGCCUUUUAACUAAUCUAGAGCAAGACCCAGCUACUUUCAGUAGCUGUCCAACUCUUGUUUUUUCUCGUGUCAAACGGUCCGUCUUUCUCGCUCAACAUUUGGAAUCGCAAGGAGAUCCCUUCGCUCGGUUCCCUAUCCAAGAGCUUCUCUUUUCGUGCGUGUUUUUUUCGUCCCCGUUGAUCCGACUCUAUCGACGACCGUAAGUCGACACCGUGCGUCUUUCCACAGCAACUAAUUUUCGUCGAGAAUAUCAAAGACUGAUCAUUUUUUUGAAUACUGGAUACCCAAACUUGAAAACUAAUUUUAAACGAGAAUCAUCCAUCCUCGAACUUGACAGAUGAUCGUAUUAUGUAUCGUUCGAUCCGCUCGAUAACUUUCAUUUCGUUGCGCUAAGAGCAAAGUUACUUGCACAGAAGACUCUCAGAGAGCAGUUCUCGAUCUUUUAAUUAAUUUACACGAAGAUAUUUGUCACGUUUAUAGAUAGAUGUCGCGAUACUCGAUGUGUCGGUUGAUAAAAUAAUACGCGCAAUUAUUUUUUCGAUGGAGGCAGGGCCAUUCAUUUCUAGCGUUCGAGGAGAAUAACCAAACGUAACCUCUUCUCCUUCUCGACGAGUCGCGCUAGGUGUCGCUAAAAAACAUGGCGCGGUACAAGGUUGUAAGGAACUGAGUAAACAAUUAUAGCGCAAAGGGUUCUAUACUCAUAAAUGAUACCCUGUAUAAAUCGUGUCACGUUUUAUUAUGUAUUCGAGGGCUAACCUCUUGCCAAUACAAUACCCUGCCGAUGUUACAUGGUUUGUUCGAGUGAACGAAUUGAAUGUUCGACUGACGGUCGUUGUCGAGUCGUUGGGGUCGAAUUUCGUCGGCGCGGAUAUACUUACAUACAUAUGCAGUAUACAGACAUGCAUUUCUGCUGUCCGCGUCUCUGGCAAUGCAACGACAAAACAUUCACGUUUCCCAUCGACAAACGGGCGGCUCGUUGUCGGCUGCGCGGAGUCGUGAGAACAGAAACACAAAA